This 204-nucleotide unclassified non-coding RNA is filed under the name Arabidopsis thaliana (thale cress). The record is from RNAcentral. Lineage: Eukaryota; Viridiplantae; Streptophyta; Magnoliopsida; Brassicales; Brassicaceae.
GCCUGCGUUUGGGGUUGUAUGAACAUUAGAAAUUCUUCGGCGGUGCACGAAACAAACCUCGCGUUUCAAGCAUCUAAUACUCACUGACUCAAUCGCGAUGAGACUAAUGUGAUUUACAAUAACCAUGCGGCUAAUCCAUUUGCAACUUCAGAAGAUCUUCUUGGUCUCAAACCCUUAGUUGAAGUUGGGGAGGAAACUUUGAAC